This 1744-nucleotide unclassified non-coding RNA is filed under the name Drosophila mojavensis. Its description in RNAcentral is "GI26069". Lineage: Eukaryota; Metazoa; Arthropoda; Insecta; Diptera; Drosophilidae. The record is from RNAcentral.
UUGACAAAGGCUUCUUUGGUGUGAGCAAGGCGGCAAGGUUGAAAGAUUCUUCUAGCAAGAAAGUCAUAAGAUUUAUUAAAAUUGAAGAUACACAACAAGGCGAAUUUGAAGCUGAAAUCAAUACUUUUAUACAAAUUAAACAUGACAAUGUUUUAUCAGUCAACAUGGUUAAGAGUCCCUACCAGAAUUUUCUGGUUAUGGACUUCUCAGAAUUUGGCUCACUCUAUAAAAUUCUACAUGUAAAUAAAGAUCUACUUUCCGAUCUACUCCUACUAAACUGGGCACAACAGUUAUUACUGGGUAUUCGGGCUUUACAUGAUAAGAAUAUUGUUCAUGGCAAUUUAGGUACUCGCAAUUUAUUUCUCUUCGACGACAAUAUGGUAUUGAAGAUAUGUUUGGAUCCAACUAAAACGUGUGGAGCACCCAUUUCCGCUUAUACGGCACCUGAAAUUCUUAAAUAUGGACGACGCACAACCAGGAGCGAUGUGUACAGUUUUGGUAUUAUUCUUUGGGAAUUGCUAUCAAGGAAGAUACCCUUUAAUGAUACAACAGACCAAAUCCUCGCAUCUAUGAUCUUAAGCGGUAAACGGCCCGAUCUGGAGGAAAUGAAAAAAUAUCGAUAUAUUGAAGUAUUGCGAAGUGUGAUCAAGCAAUGUUGGAAUGAAGAUCCAAACAAACGGCCCGCAGUGAACAUUUUGAAUCUUAUAUUCAAAUACGAUUAUGACGAAAUUAAAAUAUUAGAGCGUAUUUAAAAAAAAAUGGAGUCGAAGUAAAAUAAAACCCGGAAGUAUAACGCAAAGGAAAUAUAGAGACUAUAUUUCAAAUAGUAUGCCGGAAAUGGAACUUUCUAAACGUUCACAAAACAAUUUUUAAUUUUACUCAAAGCCUGUGCUCACCAGCUAUUAAUAAUUAGAUACCAGGAAACGAAUCUGAGAACUCAAAAUCAGCUGAUUUACGCUAAAAAUUUGCGAUGUCAAUAGCUAUGCUAUUGUAUUCUGAUACUAGGCGGCGGAUCCCAAGGUUAUGUCUACCCUGGAAACUUUAAAGUUGCUAUAAAGCAACUCAGGUCUUCAGAGGCAGAGAUAAAUAAAUCAUUUGAAGCGGAGGACACGAACUUACUUCGCGCUCAACAUCCGAAUAUUAUAAGAUUAUACGGCAUUUCAAGAGAAAUAUGUACUAAUCAAACAGUUUACAGACUAAUCAUGGAAUAUACUCUUAAUGGAACUCUUCAUUAUUACAUCCAAGAAAAAAAAAGGAGACGAUUUAGCCCGUCAAAUUCUAAUGCUUCAAUGCGCCGAGGAUAUCGCUUAUCUUCAUAGUCUGACGUGGAUACUGCACCGCGACCUGAAACCCGCAAAUAUUUUACUUACAAAUGACUACUGUACGCUAAAGAUUUGUGAUUUCGGAGCGGCACGAGAACUAGGCACAUAUUGACUUUCUUGCUUAGCCUUGAUCAUUCCGCUAUUAAAAAUCUAGAAGAGUCUGAUCAUAGGGAUGAUCCAAGAAUUAAUGACCAGAACUGAAUAAUGAAAUUUUUAGUUACGUUACUCCUAUUAAAAAUUGAUAAACAAUUAGAUGAUCUCGCCUUUUGAUAGGCAUAUGAUCGAUAGUUGAAUCGAUUUAUUUGUGAAUCAUCAUCAGUGGCUCAGUUGACUCAAAGCUCAAUGUCCCGGGAAGCAAUAGCAGAACCAAGAAACGGAGAGCGCUUUGCUUACGCACCCUUAAAAUUCAACCACAAGAAAUU